UACGUAGGGUGCGAGCGUUUGUUCGGAAUUACUGGGCGUAAAGAGCUCGUAGGUGGUUUGUCGCGUUGUUCGUGAAAACUCACAGCUUAACUGUGGGCGUGCGGGCGAUACGGGCAGACUGGAGUACUGCAGGGGAGACUGGAAUUCCUGGUGUAGCGGUGAAAUGCGCAGAUAUCAGGAGGAACACCGGUGGCGAAGGCGGUUCUCUGGGCAUUACCUGACGCUGAGGAGCGAAAGUGUGGGGGAGCGAACAGG
Molecule: ribosomal RNA, 255 nt
Filed under: uncultured bacterium
Lineage: Bacteria
Description: partial 16S ribosomal RNA
Rfam family: Bacterial small subunit ribosomal RNA
Source: RNAcentral